UGGGGAAUUUUGCACAAUGGGGGGAACCUUGAUGCAGCGACGCCGCGUGAGGGAUGGAGGCCUUCGGGUUGUGAACCUCUUUCGCUCGUGUGCAAGCCGCUAUUUGGGUAGUGGUGAGUGUAGCGGGUAAAGAAGCGCCGGCUAACUACGUGCCAGCAGCCGCGGUAAUACGUAGGGCGCGAGCGUUGUCCGGAUUUAUUGGGCGUAAAGGGCUUGUAGGCGGUUUGUCGCGCCUGUCGUGUAAUCCUCUGGCUUAACUGGGGGUGUGCGGUGGGUACGGGCAGGCUUGAGCGCGGUAGGGGAGAUUGGAAUUCCUGGUGUAGCGGUGGAAUGCGCAGAUAUCAGGAGGAACACCGGUGGCGAAGGCGGGUCUCUGGGCCGUUACUGACGCUGAGGAGCGAAAGCGUGGGGAGCGAACAGG
Molecule: ribosomal RNA, 421 nt
Filed under: Fusobacteriota bacterium
Lineage: Bacteria; Fusobacteriati; Fusobacteriota
Description: Fusobacteria bacterium partial 16S ribosomal RNA
Rfam family: Bacterial small subunit ribosomal RNA
Source: RNAcentral